GGCGAGUGAAGCGGCAACAGCUCAAAUUUGAAAUCUGGCCCCCAGGGCCCGAGUUGUAAUUUGCAGAGGAUGCUUUUGGCGCGGUGCCUUCCGAGUUCCCUGGAACGGGACGCCAUAGAGGGUGAGAGCCCCGUCUGGUCGGACGCCUAGCCUGUGUAAAGCUCCUUCGACGAGUCGAGUAGUUUGGGAAUGCUGCUCUAAAUGGGAGGUAUAUGUCUUCUAAAGCUAAAUACCGGCCAGAGACCGAUAGCGCACAAGUAGAGUGAUCGAAAGAUGAAAAGCACUUUGAAAAGAGGGUUAAAUAGUACGUGAAAUUGUUGAAAGGGAAGCGCUUGUGACCAGACUUGGGCCCGGUGGAUCAUCCAGCGUUCUCGCUGGUGCACUCCGCCGGGUUCAGGCCAGCAUCAGUUCGCCGCGGGGGAAAAAGGCUUCGGGAACGUGGCUCCUACGGGAGUGUUAUAGCCCGUUGCAUAAUACCCUGGGGCGGACUGAGGUUCGCGCUCCGCAAGGAUGCUGGCGUAAUGGUCAUCAGCGACCCGUCUUGAAACACGGACCAAGGAGUCGUCUUCGUAUGCGAGUGUUCGGGUGUAAAACCCCUACGCGUAAUGAAAGUGAACGCAGGUGAGAGCUUCGGCGCAUCAUCGACCGAUCCUGAUGUUCUCGGAUGGAUUUGAGUAAGAGCAUACGGGGCCGGACCCGAAAGAAGGUGAACUAUGCCUGUAUAGGGUGAAGCCAGAGGAAACUCUGGUGGAGGCUCGCAGCGGUUCUGACGUGC
This 775-nucleotide ribosomal RNA is filed under the name Hypocreales sp. 1 PPP-2020. RNAcentral describes it as "partial large subunit ribosomal RNA". It matches the Rfam family "Eukaryotic large subunit ribosomal RNA", at positions 88 to 894 of the family's 3401-position model. The record is from RNAcentral. Lineage: Eukaryota; Fungi; Ascomycota; Sordariomycetes; Hypocreales.